Molecule: small RNA, 215 nt
Filed under: Mycobacterium scrofulaceum
Lineage: Bacteria; Bacillati; Actinomycetota; Actinomycetes; Mycobacteriales; Mycobacteriaceae
Description: c-di-AMP sequence
Rfam family: c-di-AMP riboswitch aptamer (ydaO/yuaA leader)
About the family: This family represents a conserved RNA structure found upstream of the ydaO and yuaA genes in Bacillus subtilis and related genes in other bacteria. The ydaO/yuaA element is thought to act as a genetic "off" switch for the ydaO and yuaA genes in its native state.
Source: RNAcentral
CCUCCUAUCGCGCCGAGCUCCAUCCAGUAGGCGGGGCCCACUAACCAACGUGGAUGGAGACGGGGGACCCACCGGUCCACCGUGAUCGGAUUGGGGCCGCAUGCGGCCCCUAGGGGUGAAGCCGAUGCCGCUCCCCAGCGGAUGCGACAACGGCCGGGUGGCCUCUCCAACCCGAACCCGACAGCUGACCUCGCAGGCGCGUGACGAGAGAGGAU